RNAcentral lists this ribosomal RNA (984 nucleotides) under Salmonella enterica subsp. enterica serovar Heidelberg. RNAcentral's name for it is "bacterial SSU rRNA". It matches the Rfam family "Bacterial small subunit ribosomal RNA", at positions 63 to 1036 of the family's 1533-position model. The record is from RNAcentral. Lineage: Bacteria; Pseudomonadati; Pseudomonadota; Gammaproteobacteria; Enterobacterales; Enterobacteriaceae.
CGAACGGUAACAGGAAGCAGCUUGCUGCUUUGCUGACGAGUGGCGGACGGGUGAGUAAUGUCUGGGAAACUGCCUGAUGGAGGGGGAUAACUACUGGAAACGGUGGCUAAUACCGCAUAACGUCGCAAGACCAAAGAGGGGGACCUUCGGGCCUCUUGCCAUCAGAUGUGCCCAGAUGGGAUUAGCUUGUUGGUGAGGUAACGGCUCACCAAGGCGACGAUCCCUAGCUGGUCUGAGAGGAUGACCAGCCACACUGGAACUGAGACACGGUCCAGACUCCUACGGGAGGCAGCAGUGGGGAAUAUUGCACAAUGGGCGCAAGCCUGAUGCAGCCAUGCCGCGUGUAUGAAGAAGGCCUUCGGGUUGUAAAGUACUUUCAGCGGGGAGGAAGGUGUUGUGGUUAAUAACCACAGCAAUUGACGUUACCCGCAGAAGAAGCACCGGCUAACUCCGUGCCAGCAGCCGCGGUAAUACGGAGGGUGCAAGCGUUAAUCGGAAUUACUGGGCGUAAAGCGCACGCAGGCGGUCUGUCAAGUCGGAUGUGAAAUCCCCGGGCUCAACCUGGGAACUGCAUUCGAAACUGGCAGGCUUGAGUCUUGUAGAGGGGGGUAGAAUUCCAGGUGUAGCGGUGAAAUGCGUAGAGAUCUGGAGGAAUACCGGUGGCGAAGGCGGCCCCCUGGACAAAGACUGACGCUCAGGUGCGAAAGCGUGGGGAGCAAACAGGAUUAGAUACCCUGGUAGUCCACGCCGUAAACGAUGUCUACUUGGAGGUUGUGCCCUUGAGGCGUGGCUUCCGGAGCUAACGCGUUAAGUAGACCGCCUGGGGAGUACGGCCGCAAGGUUAAAACUCAAAUGAAUUGACGGGGGCCCGCACAAGCGGUGGAGCAUGUGGUUUAAUUCGAUGCAACGCGAAGAACCUUACCUGGUCUUGACAUCCACAGAACUUUCCAGAGAUGGAUUGGUGCCUUCGGGAACUGUGAGACA